Long non-coding RNA from Alosa sapidissima (American shad), 101 nucleotides. RefSeq lists it as uncharacterized. The transcript is spliced from 3 exons. The record is from RefSeq and is a predicted model, not a curated record. NCBI's taxonomy places the organism in Eukaryota, Metazoa, Chordata, Actinopteri, Clupeiformes, Clupeidae.
UUGAGAAUGGGUCUCAUCUAGUGAUGCACCGAUGUGAAAAUUGUGGCCGAUACCGAUAACCGAUAUUAAUUUUGCUGUUAUGGCCGAUACCGAUAUUUACC